Molecule: long non-coding RNA, 308 nt
Organism: Mytilus californianus (California mussel)
Lineage: Eukaryota; Metazoa; Mollusca; Bivalvia; Mytilida; Mytilidae
Exons: 3
Source: RefSeq, a predicted model, not a curated record
UUUAGAAGGAAAGAAGAUGAAAUUGGUAAUUGUGGUUACAACUUUACUCCUUAUCAUGGCAUUUGGUAUACAGACAUCUAGCCAAGCGUCGUGUGAGGCUAUGUGCACUAAAUUAAACCACGAUCGUUGUUAUGGCUGCUGUCAUGCCAAAGACUGCUUCAGCGGGGGGAAUUGUGAUAGCUUGACAAAAAAAUGCUUUUGUAAUGGAUGUAUGAAUAUGGCAGCUGGUGCAAAGGGAAAAUCUAUGUAAAAUUUCUAAUCAAUUUCAUUAGUUUAAAAACUGGUAAAUAAACUUAUCCGUAUAAAGA